GCUUAACACAUGCAAGUCGAGGGGCAGCAUGAACUUAGCUUGCUAAGUUUGAUGGCGACCGGCGCACGGGUGAGUAACACGUAUCCAACCUGCCGAUAACUCGGGGAUAGCCUUUCGAAAGAAAGAUUAAUACCCGAUGGCAUAGUUCUUCCGCAUGGUAGAACUAUUAAAGAAUUUCGGUCAUCGAUGGGGAUGCGUUCCAUUAGGUUGUUGGCGGGGUAACGGCCCACCAAGCCUUCGAUGGAUAGGGGUUCUGAGAGGAAGGUCCCCCACAUUGGAACUGAGACACGGUCCAAACUCCUACGGGAGGCAGCAGUGAGGAAUAUUGGUCAAUGGACGAGAGUCUGAACCAGCCAAGUAGCGUGAAGGAUGACUGCCCUAUGGGUUGUAAACUUCUUUUAUACGGGAAUAAAGUGAGGCACGUGUGCCUUUUUGUAUGUACCGUAUGAAUAAGGAUCGGCUAACUCCGUGCCAGCAGCCGCGGUAAUACGGAGGAUCCGANGCGUUAUNCCGGAUUUAUUGGGGUUUAACAGGGGAGCGUANGGCGGNNACGCUUAAGUUCAGUUGUCGAAAGUUUGGCGGCUUCAACCCGUAAAAUUGCAGUUGAUACU
Molecule: ribosomal RNA, 611 nt
Filed under: uncultured Bacteroidales bacterium
Lineage: Bacteria; Pseudomonadati; Bacteroidota; Bacteroidia; Bacteroidales
Description: bacterial SSU rRNA
Rfam family: Bacterial small subunit ribosomal RNA
Source: RNAcentral